ACUUCUUCAUUGCCCCGCUGGGUUGGAAAGGCACCCACAUCCUCUCGAACCCCAAAGGCGGAAGUCUGCAGCGGUAGGGUUGCUGCUGCGGUCAAGCCAAAGAAUUCAGGUGUCCUUGGUUGCGUCUUGUGUAUUUGGAUAGCGCAAACAAAGGCGGGGUAACGGCAAGCUGCGGUUUCACCUGCAAUUGUUAAAGAAUUAAAAGCAAGAGUUGAGUGACCCUACAAUCAAUACUUCCAACGAUUUAGGCCUUAUAACCAUCUGAACUUUGCACGUUGCAGGACCCAUGAAGGCAGUGUCUGUUUAGGCACUUCUAUGUUUCCAGUACCUGGACCUUGAUUUGCUGGAUGCAUGAGUGAAUAAAUACACAAUGUGGAAACUGA
Molecule: long non-coding RNA, 383 nt
Organism: Ailuropoda melanoleuca (giant panda)
Lineage: Eukaryota; Metazoa; Chordata; Mammalia; Carnivora; Ursidae
Exons: 3
Source: RefSeq, a predicted model, not a curated record